Chroicocephalus ridibundus (black-headed gull) is the source of this 6399-nucleotide long non-coding RNA. RefSeq lists it as uncharacterized. The record is from RefSeq and is a predicted model, not a curated record. The transcript has 5 exons. NCBI's taxonomy places the organism in Eukaryota, Metazoa, Chordata, Aves, Charadriiformes, Laridae.
UCAACAGUUCAGUUCUCCCGGCCGGCGCCGCGCCGGCGCAUGGAAAUGAGCCUGUCUUCGGCUGACGGGAGCUCAGCAGAAACUCAUCAGCAGAUGAUCAAAGUUUAGAGUUCAGAUGAAGGGCCUCAGAACUCGUCUCAGGGAGGUUGGGGCCCCUUCGUGCCCUGUGGAUGGAAUUUCAUUAGCUUGUAACUAUGACAGGUUAUAAUCAACCUGUCCAAUUUUAAUCUCUUCCAUAGCUAUGCUCUAGAUUUUUAAUUUUUUUUAUCAUUUGCUUUAGUUGACUUGUGAAUGUGCCCUGCUGAAAGAAAAGACUCCCUAACCUGUUCCCUUCAGGCAACUGGAAAAGUUCCUCGUGCAGCCAGCCAGCGAUGUGUUUAAAUGUCAGUGCCCAAGAGACAGAUGUUAAGGGAACGUGGUUCAUCAGAAAGGAUUAAUCACUCUUUGUUGGACUACCUAAGAGGAAACGGCAUUAAACACCCAGCUUAAUUACCUAUGUUGCGGCAGCUCCAAAUUGCAAGUUUGAUUUGGCCGCUGAUGGAAAAUGUAUCGCUCUAGGACCUAGAAAAGGUAAGGAGGACUGUGUCCCAAGAGAUCCUUCAGCUGGAGCACAAAGCCCUCUGGUGAAAGAAGUGACUCCAUUCAAGCAGGAGCUCCCGUUCUCGCUCCUGACUGCAUGGCAAAAGGGACAGGAAAGCCUCAACGCUCCAAAAACGUGCACAGGACUCUGGAAACACCAUGCCAUCCCGAAUUAGCUCAUAAUUAGCGGCUGUCCCACGCCAACCAAGAAGUCGUCAUGAGAGCAAGAGCAGAAGCCCAGGGGUGGUGGGUGACUCAUAGGACCUGCCAGAGCUACGGGAUGCUCAGGACACCGUGGAUGCGAUGUGCGUUGGCAGCGUUGCUUCCCAAGCUUUCCUGCAGGCCCAAAUAAAUAAGGAUUUAGCCUUGGAAAGGACCCAGUUAGACCUUUGGAGCGGGCCUUUGUCUUCACCUUAAGGACUGAGAAACUCACUGGGACUGUUCAAGGGCAGGAUCGGAGCUGUCAGACUGCUAGAGAAGAGCACAGGAGAAAACACAGCUGUGCUGGGAAGCCACAUCUGUAACAUCGCUGCCGAGCUACAGCAGAAGCGUGACACGCUGGCGCACCCUUAAUUAACAAGCGUUUCCACCCUGAUAUACCGUGAGCCAGGUACAACAGCGAGUUCAGCGCGCGGGUGUCUGCGCCGCAAAGGGUUGCAGCAACGUGUUCCCAAAGCUGCCUUCUCCUGCCUGCGGUUGCCCGCCGAGCUCCGAGGAGCACAUCCAACGCUGUUGUGGUUUUGGCCAAAUUGGCCAAUGGCCGGUGACAGAUGCUCCCCCCCACCUCUCGCACAAGGAGAGAAGGAGGAGAGAUAAAGAGAUUUAUGAGUUUAGAAGGAACUAAACUACUUUAAUGACAUAUUAAUAAUAAAACAAAAAGAAAAUAAUGAAAUGGACACGAUACAUACAAAACCAUAUCAAGCUCCCAGGAUGACGUCACCGGCAGGCACUGGGGAAGUCCCAGCCUGGACUCAGCGACGGGUGGGAACUGGAUUCCAGAGUUGGAGUCAGGAAUGCUCGUAUCGGGAUCCAAGGCAGAUGAACAGACAGGGGCCUCCUCAGACAUCAACCACCGAAUAAAGAGAGUUGACCCUUUGACCCCUCAGCUUUUAUACUGAGCAUGGGGCAGAUGGGAUGGAAUACCCUGGUGGUCAGUUCGGGGUCCCCUGUCCUGUCCCCUCUUCCCUGCAGGUGGGACCCCUCUACGCUUCUCCGCUUCCGACCCUCCAAGGGGGCAAGUAACAAAGUGAGCUGACCUUGGUUGUUAUAGCAAGAAGUAUCAGCCAGAGCCUCUCUGCGUGCCAUUCCUUGGCACUAUCUGUAAACAUUGGUCUUAUCACUCUGAGAACGAACUGUUUUCGGCACAACAUGCUGCUAAUUUCAGAGAGUUAGAAGAGGCCUAGCUAAGAAGGAAAAUUACUGAACAGAAAGUUGGUUCUGUUUUACCUCAAACCAGGACAAACACACAUCCCCAUUUCCAUUCCCACCAUAAUUCUGACGGUGCUUACAUGCAUUUAUGCCGAGACCUUGUCUCAUUUCCCAGCCUCGCAUUGGAUUCCCCUGCUCACCGUAACCAGUGUCUGAGCGCUGAUUGUCUUGUUGGCAUCUAUGGGCCACCGCAAAACUGCAUUGCAACCCUGGUCACCGGAGCUGCCGGUCUGGUUUGUGCUUUGUGGUUUUUGUUGAGUAGAGUGGUUUUUGUUGAGUAGAAGCCCAUGCUAAUGACUCCUGAGCUAGUAACACCUUCUUGGCACUGCUCGUACCAUCUGCCAUAUCUAGAGACGUUCUCCUCCAGCAGAAAGACAUCCCAGACUGGUUCACACACCCGGCAGCUCCCUCUCCCCUUUUUUGUGAUAUUUGUGAAGCCCCUGGUAGCUGCGUGAUGGUACAGCCCUGGUGCCAUCUUCACGCUUCCCUUGGCAGGAGCCCUCCAACAACCCAACAGACGGCAGCCCCAGCUCUAUCCUCACCAAACCCAGGGACAAACUCCCAGAGACUCUGUGAGUCUGGCCAGGACAUCGUGGACUAUUUGUACGGGUUGGAAAAGCAGGAGGUGGGAGAUAACCACAUCCAUGUCACCUCUUGGGCAUUUCAGUUGCUCACAGCAACCUGGGAUGCCACAGGGCAAAUCUGGUGGUUCUGUCUAACGCAGCAUGAUUUAGAGCCUCUCAGGUUUGCUAAGGCUCCCUGGGCGCUUCUUACCCCCUCUCUGCUGAUGCAUAAAGCAAUCUAAAUAAGUGUAAUUUAUGCACCAAAGAAAAGGUGCGAGUUUAAACGACUCCCAGCCUAAAAUAGCCUCUAAGUGGGGAGAGAGAGAAAGGGGAGUCUUAACUUUAUGCCACAUAGAGCAUCAUCUCUGAAUUUGGCCCUGGGCCUCAAAGCUUUUAAAAAUCAAGAGUAAAUUCAGUUUGGAGGAGGUCAUAGACGGCUCUGUGCGCCUCUCCAGGCCUUUGUCAGCGAGUCCUGGCCCAAGCAAGGCAGGCACGAGCAAGGCGAGGAGCGAAGAUGACUGGGAGAGGCAACGCUUGGUGCUGAUGAAGAGCCUGAUUUUCCACUGCCGGUUCCUCCCCUGCCUGUUUCCAAUUCUGCAAAGCGGAGAUAAACCAAGGCCGUUCCACUCGGUAACCAGUGUACACGAACGCACGCGCCCAGCGACGAAGCAACAGCCCCUUCGCGCCCCGCUCAUUAAGCACAUCCCGGCUGACCGUCUUUUUCGCACUUCGAUGCUCCCUUUACGCACAGGACAAGCUGUUUUCCAACCAGGUGGCUCCCGCUGUAUCAGGCACACGCGGAUUUAUUGCUAUCGAUACUUUGCUGAAGUAUUUCCAAAACUUGGGCCAUCCUGCCCAGUGCACACUUCGUGCUUAAUUGUCACUACAGGCGCUGCUAAUAUUGAUAGCCCGUGACCUGUCUGCAACCCGCGGCAGUCAAUAACGCCGUCACGAGGGCUGGCAUGGUAAGUGCCAUUGCUGAUGCCGGGCUGAUAACAUUACGCGCCCGUGACAUGUGAAUCAACCUCAGGGUAAGUGAGCUGAUUUAGAAUAUAAUGAAUAAAUAUCCCCGGGUUAGAAGAGGGGAUGCUGUCAAAGGCUUUCUAAAAAUAGUUGGUAAUUGGCUUUGUGUUAGGCUUAUUAUUGCCUGUGACGGUCUCUUAGAAGUUUUGAAACUGCAGACUCCUCCCCAGGCGCAUCCCUGCGCUCCAGAGCCGCGCUCUCAAGGCCCAGGCUCUCUCUGCGUCCCAGCUGCAAAUACCCAGCAGAGGAGUAUCUGUGGGCAAUGCCCUGCUCCACGCAGGACGAAAAAAGCCCUCAUAGAUACUUUUCUGGAAGCAUUGUCUCCCGGUGUUUGGGGCACUUGUUUGGUUGGGGACAGGUCUGAAGGGUGCAGAUGAGGAACAUAAAUUCCAGGAGGAUUUACGGACCCUGUUACUGAUCACCGCGAGCUGGCUGCGCUGGUUCUCAGCGUGAACUCCUCAACUCCCAGAACUUUUUCUGCUAAGUAGCUUUUGGGAAAAAAAAAACAAAAACCAAACCACCCAAGUUUUCUGGUUGAAGUGUUUGUGCCAAGAGCUCCAGCUCAGCUCUGAAACAAAUCUGAUCUCCUGUGCACAGAAAGGCUUGGACUAAAAAGGAGCAGCACUGCCCUGUUCCCUCCAGGGCAGGUUCUCUGGCUCUUACAUCUGGAGAGGGGCUGGUCCCUGCGCUCCUUGGAGACGCCCCUAGAGCCACGUGGUCCUUUCAAAGAACAUCCCCCAAAGAGGCCAUUAACCAAAACAUGAGGCAUUAUUAUGAAGUCUCCAUGGCCAGCUGGCUGGGCACAUCUGCUCCGUGAUACCUAUUUACCGGUGCAGUGAAGGGGAAGAGGGGGCGUCCACGGCCGUCCUGCUCCCUGCUGUAUCGGUGGCCAGCCCUGUGCUGCGGCGCAAACGAGCCUAGGCGCUUAGAGGGGACAACAGUCUGUUCUCAUCCGGUUCCUGGUAUCCUCUCGUUGACAACCCCUCGCAGGCUGAAGGCACAGCCGGAGUUGGCGUUGUUCCCUGGGCAGGUUUCAGUUGUCCCCCCGCUGCUCCGUGGGCGAGGGCUGCUCAGUGGAUGGGGCUCGGGGAGAUUCGCAAGCCGCGGAUGGCAAUUGCUCCCCUACGAGCUGGGCCGCUGCGAGGACGCUGCGAGGCAGUCGCACCGGUAUUCUUACAGCCCCCCACAAAGACCGACUCCUACUCCAAGCUUACACAGGGAAGCGGCUUUUCUUCUUUUUCAGAUUCUUUGUCCUCUUAUUCGGAAGGAUGCACGGAGCAAAAAGGGACCUUGUAGUCUUUUGGCGCAGAGAAAACAACGUGCGUAGGGGCAGGAGGACCUUCGGCAAGGAUCUCAAACCAGCACGCUCCCAGCUGGGGAAAAAAAACACCCGCUGGGAAGUUUUCAGCCUUUUCCAGCCUCUGUCGACCAUCCCCUGUGUGUCCACCCUCCGUAUCGCAAGUUGGCUCUAAAGGACCCUUUAAACGGCCCGAGCCUUUAGUUAUCCACAGACAGUAUCUAAAAGGCUUAAAAUACAUCAGCAAUCACAGCACUAAAGCCUAAAGGGUUUUUCAACCAAGAGAGCGAAAUCUGUGGAAGAGGCCUGAUGGAGCCUCUUGUGACCGUGUAAGAGUGGAUGAGCUCAGGCUGCUCCUGGCCGAUUAACGCCGCUCUCCGAUUGAAACCUCAGGGCCCAGCUCAGCCCUCUAGCACCGCCUUUAAUCACAUCUCUCUGAUUUUACACCAGGGGACACAAAGGCUGCAGGGAUGGCUACAGACUGCAGCAGCAUCUCCGACCGUGCUGGUCGCACCAGCAUCCCGGGCUGGUUUGUAGCGAGAGUGGAUUUUGGAGGAGAAGCCCCCACCUGCAAACGGGCUUGGACCUUUUGGAUGUCCCAGGCUGGACAGAUAUUUCCAGUUUGUCCCAAAUCGUGAGGGUAAGGAUGUCUCCUCCUUUCCCCACCUGAAGCCACUCCGCUGCCUUCUGCUCUGUGAUCAAACUCCUGCUGCCUGUGAUGGGAUUUAGAUGAGGUGUUUCUUCCGCAGGCUCUUGCAUUAAAGUUCAUACGUAUCUUUAAGCACACGUGGAGGAAAGCCUUGAGCACUGCAAUUCACCCAAAUCUUCGUGACUCCUUUUAUUUUCACAUUAAGUGUUUUUUCUUUAUGAAAGGAAUAAAAGAACUAUAACAAUCACAAUGAAAUAAGAAAGUGAAUGCCUAGAGGUAACUACAAUAUAAAAUCAUAUUCAUCAUAUCAUAAUAUUUUACAUUUGCUUGUUGUUUUAUGCGGAUUAAAAACCCCCUCGACGCAGGAUCUAACAGCAGCAAGACAAGCUGCGGAAGAGGAAGGGAAACAUGGGGAAAGCAAUGUGCAGCCCCGGGCAGGGGGACAGCCAGACGUGGUCUCUUAGCCAGCGAGCUAUAAUUCCACCUGGCCGUGGCAUCCCUUCCCUCCAGCGUGUCGACCAUCCGACACCAAGCCGUGUGGCACGGUCGACAGGCUGGAGGGAAGGGAUGCCAUCCAGAGGGACCUGGACAGGCUGGAGAGGUGGGCCCAUGCCAACCUCAUGAGGUUCAACCAGGCCAAGCGCAAGGUCCUGCACCUGGGUCACGGCAACCCCAGGCACAAAUACAGGUUGGGCGGAGAAUGGCUUGAGAGGAGCCCUGAGGAGAAGGACUUGGGGGUGCUGGUGCGUGAGAAGCUCAACACGAGCCGGCAAUGCGCACUUGCAGCCCAGAAAGCCAACCACACCCUGGGCUGCAUCAGAAGAAGCGUGGGCAGGGGGGCGAGGGGGGCGAAUCUGCCC